This 73-nucleotide transfer RNA is filed under the name Felis catus (domestic cat). It matches the Rfam family "tRNA". From Rfam's summary of the family: Transfer RNA (tRNA) molecules are approximately 80 nucleotides in length. The record is from Rfam by way of RNAcentral. Lineage: Eukaryota; Metazoa; Chordata; Mammalia; Carnivora; Felidae. RNAcentral also lists the same sequence under 2 other names.
GCCUGGCUGGCUCAGUGGGAAGAGCAUGUGACUCUAGAUCUCAGGGUCAUGAGUUUGAGCCCCAUGUUGGGUG